GGGGUCAUAGUUUCAAUUGGUAGAACAUAUGCUUUGCACGCAUGAGGAAUCGGUUCGAGUCCGGUUGACUCCA
RNAcentral lists this transfer RNA (73 nucleotides) under Prototheca zopfii. RNAcentral's name for it is "tRNA-Ala". It matches the Rfam family "tRNA". From Rfam's summary of the family: Transfer RNA (tRNA) molecules are approximately 80 nucleotides in length. Lineage: Eukaryota; Viridiplantae; Chlorophyta; Trebouxiophyceae; Chlorellales; Chlorellaceae. The record is from RNAcentral.